Molecule: ribosomal RNA, 492 nt
Filed under: uncultured bacterium
Lineage: Bacteria
Description: partial 16S ribosomal RNA
Rfam family: Bacterial small subunit ribosomal RNA
Source: RNAcentral
AGUGAACGCUGGCGGUAGGCCUAACACAUGCAAGUCGAACGGCAGCACAGUAAGCGCUUGCUCUUACGGGUGGCGAGUGGCGGACGGGUGAGGCAUACAUAGGAAUCUACUUUUUCGUGGGGGAUAACGUAGGGAAACUUACGCUAAUACCGCAUACGUCCUACGGGUGAAAGCAGGGGAUCUUCGGACCUUGCGCGAUUGAAUGAGCCGAUGUCGGAUUAGCUAGUUGGCGGGGUAAAGGCCCACCAAGGCGACGAUCCGUAGCUGGUCUGAGAGGAUCAUCAGCCACACUGGAACUGAGACACGGUCCAGACUCCUACGGGAGGCAGCAGUGGGGAAUAUUGGACAAUGGGCGCAAGCCUGAUCCAGCCAUACCGCGUAGGUGAAGAAGGCCUUCGGGUUGUAAAGCCCUUUUGUUGGGAAAGAAAAGCAGCAGGUUAAUACCCCGCUGUUCUGACGGUACCCAAAGAAUAAGCACCGGCUAACUUCGUG